ACACGGAGUGAGUGGCGAACGGGUGAGUAACACGUGGGUAACCUGCCCAGAAGUAGGGGAUAACACCUGGAAACAGAUGCUAAUACCGUAUAACAGAGAAAACCGCAUGGUUUUCUUUUAAAAGAUGGCUCUGCUAUCACUUCUGGAUGGACCCGCGGCGUAUUAGCUAGUUGGUGAGGUAAAGGCUCACCAAGGCAGUGAUACGUAGCCGACCUGAGAGGGUAAUCGGCCACAUUGGGACUGAGACACGGCCCAGACUCCUACGGGAGGCAGCAGUAGGGAAUCUUCCACAAUGGACGCAAGUCUGAUGGAGCAACGCCGCGUGAGUGAAGAAGGGUUUCGGCUCGUAAAGCUCUGUUGUUAAAGAAGAACGUGGGUAAGAGUAACUGUUUACCCAGUGACGGUAUUUAACCAGAAAGCCACGGCUAACUACGUGCCAGCAGCCGCGGUAAUACGUAGGUGGCAAGCGUUAUCCGGAUUUAUUGGGCGUAAAGCGAGCGCAGGCGGUCUUUUAAGUCUAAUGUGAAAGCCUUCGGCUCAACCGAAGAAGUGCAUUGGAAACUGGGAGACUUGAGUGCAGAAGAGGACAGUGGAACUCCAUGUGUAGCGGUGAAAUGCGUAGAUAUAUGGAAGAACACCAGUGGCGAAGGCGGCUGUCUGGUCUGCAACUGACGCUGAGGCUCGAAAGCAUGGGUAGCGAACAGGAUUAGAUACCCUGGUAGUCCAUGCCGUAAACGAUGAUUACUAAGUGUUGGAGGGUUUCCGCCCUUCAGUGCUGCAGCUAACGCAUUAAGUAAUCCGCCUGGGGAGUACGACCGCAAGGUUGAAACUCAAAAGAAUUGACGGGGGCCCGCACAAGCGGUGGAGCAUGUGGUUUAAUUCGAAGCUACGCGAAGAACCUUACCAGGUCUUGACAUCUUCUGACAGUCUAAGAGAUUAGAGGUUCCCUUCGGGGACAGAAUGACAGGUGGUGCAUGGUGUCGUCAGCU
This 989-nucleotide ribosomal RNA is filed under the name Pediococcus pentosaceus. RNAcentral describes it as "bacterial SSU rRNA". It matches the Rfam family "Bacterial small subunit ribosomal RNA", at positions 84 to 1060 of the family's 1533-position model. Lineage: Bacteria; Bacillati; Bacillota; Bacilli; Lactobacillales; Lactobacillaceae. The record is from RNAcentral.